UACGUAGGGGGCAAGCGUUGUCCGGAAUUAUUGGGCGUAAAGAGCUCGUAGGCGGUCUGCCGCGUCUGCUGUGAAAACUCAGGGCUUAACCCUGGGCCUGCAUCGGGUACGGGCAGACUAGAGUGCGGUAGGGGAGACUGGAAUUCCUGGUGUAGCGGUGAAAUGCGCAGAUAUCAGGAGGAACACCGGUGGCGAAGGCGGGUCUCUGGGCCGUAACUGACGCUGAGGAGCGAAAGCAUGGGGAGCGAACAGG
RNAcentral lists this ribosomal RNA (253 nucleotides) under uncultured bacterium. RNAcentral describes it as "partial 16S ribosomal RNA". It matches the Rfam family "Bacterial small subunit ribosomal RNA", at positions 524 to 776 of the family's 1533-position model. The record is from RNAcentral.